GGAGCUUGCUCCGCUGACGAGUGGCGAACGGGUGAGUAAUAUAUCGGAACGUACCAUUCAGUGGGGGAUAACGUAGCGAAAGUUACGCUAAUACCGCAUAUUCUGUGAGCAGGAAAGCAGGGGAUCGCAAGACCCUGCGCUGAUUGAGCGGCCGAUAUCAGAUUAGCUUGUUGGUGAGGUAAAAGCUCACCAAGGCGACGAUCUGUAGCGGGUCUGAGAGGAUGAUCCGCCACACUGGAACUGAGACACGGUCCAGACUCCUACGGGAGGCAGCAGUGGGGAAUUUUGGACAAUGGGGGCAACCCUGAUCCAGCCAUGCCGCGUGAGUGAAGAAGGCCUUCGGGUUGUAAAGCUCUUUCAGCCGGGAAGAAACGCAUGGGUUAAUACCCUGUGUGGAUGACGGUACCGGAAUAAGAAGCACCGGCUAACUACGUGCCAGCAGCCGCGGUAAUACGUAGGGUGCGAGCGUUAAUCGGAAUUACUGGGCGUAAAGCGUGCGCAGGCGGUUUUGUAAGACAGGCGUGAAAUCCCCGGGCUUAACUUGGGAACUGCGUUUGUGACUGCAAGGCUAGAGUACGGCAGAGGGGGGUGGAAUUCCACGUGUAGCAGUGAAAUGCGUAGAGAUGUGGAGGAACACCAAUGGCGAAGGGAGCCCCCUGGGUCGAUACUGACGCUCAUGCACGAAAGCGUGGGUAGCAAACAGGAUUAGAUACCCUGGUAGUCCACGCCCUAAACGAUGUCAACUAGGUGUUGGGAGGGUAAAACCUUUUAGUACCGGAGCUAACGCGUGAAGUUGACCGCCUGGGGAGUACGGCCGCAAGGUUAAAACUCAAAGGAAUUGACGGGGACCCGCACAAGCGGUGGAUGAUGUGGAUUAAUUCGAUGCAACGCGAAAAACCUUACCUACCCUUGACAUGCCAAGAACUUUCCAGAGAUGGAUUGGUGCCCGAAAGGGAACUUGGACACAGGUGCUGCAUGGCUGUCGUCAGCUCGUGUCGUGAGAUGUUGGGUUAAGUCCCGCAACGAGCGCAACCCUUGUCGUUAAUUGCCAUCUUUUAGUUGGGCACUUUAACGAGACUGCCGGUGACAAACCGGAGGAAGGUGGGGAUGACGUCAAGUCCUCAUGGCCCUUAUGGGUAGGGCUUCACACGUCAUACAAUGGUCGGUACAAAGGGUCGCCAAGCCGCGAGGUGGAGCCAAUCCCAGAAAGCCGAUCGUAGUCCGGAUCGCAGUCUGCAACUCGACUGCGUGAAGUCGGAAUCGCUAGUAAUCGUGGAUCAGAAUGUCACGGUGAAUACGUUCCCAGGUCUUGUACACACCGCCCGUCACACCAUGGGAGCGGGUUCCGCCAGAAGUAGGUAGCCUAACCGCAAGGAGGGCGCUUACCACGGCGGGGUUCGUGACUGGGGUGAAGUCGGA
Molecule: ribosomal RNA, 1419 nt
Filed under: metagenome
Description: bacterial SSU rRNA
Rfam family: Bacterial small subunit ribosomal RNA
Source: RNAcentral